AACGAACGCUGGCGGCAUGCCUAACACAUGCAAGUCGAACGAGACCUUCGGGUCUAGUGGCGCACGGGUGCGUAACGCGUGGGAACCUGCCCUUAGGUUCGGAAUAACUCCCCGAAAGGGGUGCUAAUACCGGAUAAUUUCUUCGGACCAAAGAUUUAUCGCCUUUGGAUGGGCCCGCGUUGGUUUAGCUAGUUGGUAGGGUAAAAGCCUACGAAGGCUACGAUCCAUAGCUGGUAUGAGAGGAUGAUCAGCCACACUGGGACUGAGCAACGGCCCAGACUACUACGGGAGGCAGCAGUGGGGAAUAUUGGAAAAUGGGCGAAAGCCUGAUCCAGCAAUGCCGCGUGAGUGAUGAAGGCCUUAGGGUUGUAAAGCUCUUUUACCCGGGAUGAUACUGACAGUACCGGGAGAAUAAGCUCCGGCUAACUUCGUG
Molecule: ribosomal RNA, 433 nt
Filed under: uncultured bacterium
Lineage: Bacteria
Description: partial 16S ribosomal RNA
Rfam family: Bacterial small subunit ribosomal RNA
Source: RNAcentral